Molecule: unclassified non-coding RNA, 215 nt
Filed under: Microdochium sp.
Lineage: Eukaryota; Fungi; Ascomycota; Sordariomycetes; Xylariales; Microdochiaceae
Description: partial internal transcribed spacer region
Rfam family: Eukaryotic small subunit ribosomal RNA (bases 1-46)
Source: RNAcentral
AAGUCGUAACAAGGUCUCCGUAGGUGAACCUGCGGAGGGAUCAUUACUGAGUUUUUAACUCUCCAAACCAUGUGAACUUGCCACUGUUGCCUCGGUGGUCGGUGCUGGAAACAGUGCUGCCACCGGUGGACUACUAAACUCUUGUUAAUUUUUGUCAAAUCUGAAUCAAACUAAGAAAUAAGUUAAAACUUUCAACAACGGAUCUCUUGGUUCUG